AUUGAACGCUGGCGGCAUGCCUUACACAUGCAAGUCGAACGGUAACGGGCCUUCGGGUGCCGACGAGUGGCGAACGGGUGAGUAAUACAUCGGAACGUGCCCGAUCGUGGGGGAUAACGAGGCGAAAGCUUUGCUAAUACCGCAUACGAUCUACGGAUGAAAGCAGGGGACCGCAAGGCCUUGCGCGGACGGAGCGGCCGAUGGCAGAUUAGGUAGUUGGUGGGAUAAAAGCUUACCAAGCCGACGAUCUGUAGCUGGUCUGAGAGGAUGAUCAGCCACACUGGGACUGAGACACGGCCCAGACUCCUACGGGAGGAAGCAGUGGGGAAUUUUGGACAAUGGGCGCAAGCCUGAUCCAGCCAUGCCGCGUGCAGGAUGAAGGCCUUCGGGUUGUAAACUGCUUUUGUACGGAACGAAAAGCAUUCUUUUAAUACAGGAGGGUCAUGACGGCACCGUAAGAAUAAGCACCGGCUAACUACGUG
This 482-nucleotide ribosomal RNA is filed under the name uncultured bacterium. RNAcentral describes it as "partial 16S ribosomal RNA". It matches the Rfam family "Bacterial small subunit ribosomal RNA", at positions 30 to 507 of the family's 1533-position model. The record is from RNAcentral.